Molecule: ribosomal RNA, 755 nt
Filed under: uncultured bacterium
Lineage: Bacteria
Description: bacterial SSU rRNA
Rfam family: Bacterial small subunit ribosomal RNA
Source: RNAcentral
AGAGUUUGAUCAUGGCUCAGGAUGAACGCUGGCGGCGUGGAUAAGGCAUGCAAGUCGAGUGGGUUUAGACCCACGGCAAACGAGGUAGUAACACGUAGGUACGCACCCGAGAGUCAGGAAUAAUUCCGCGAAAGCGGGGCUAAUACUUGAUAAUCUCUACGGAGCAAAAAUUUAUUGCUCUCGGGGCGGCCUGCGGGAUAUCAGCUAGUUGGUAGGGUAAUGGCCUACCAAGGCGAUGACGUCUAGGGGAGCUGAGAGGCUGACCCCCACCGAUGGAACUGAGAUACGGUCCAUACACCUACGGGUGGCCGCAGUCGAGAAUCUUCCGCAAUGGACGAAAGUCUGACGGAGCGACGCCGCGUGAAGGAUGAAGCGUUUCGGCGCGUAAACUUCUUUUGUGAGGGAGAAAGUAAUUGAUAGUACCUCAAGAAUAAGGGGCUUCAAACUCUGUGCCAGCAGAAGCGGUAAUACAGAGGCCCCAAGCGUUAUCCGGAAUUACUGGGCGUAAAGGGUGUGUAGGUGGUCUUGUUAGUCUCCUGUAAAAUUCUUCGGCUUAACCGGGGGCGCGCGGGAGAAACGGCAAGACUUGAGGAUGCGAGGGGUGCAUGGAACUCAUGGAGUAGGGGUGAAAUCCGUUGAUAUCAUGGGGAACACCAAAAGCGAAGGCAGUGCACUGGCGCAUUUCUGACACUCAAACACGAAAGCGUGGGUAGCGAACGGGAUUAGAUACCCCGGUAGUCCACGCCCUAAACGAU